This 1302-nucleotide unclassified non-coding RNA is filed under the name Melitaea cinxia (Glanville fritillary). RNAcentral's name for it is "misc RNA ENSMCXG00005007956.1". The record is from RNAcentral. Lineage: Eukaryota; Metazoa; Arthropoda; Insecta; Lepidoptera; Nymphalidae.
AUGGCCGUACUGGUCGCCGCCGCGUCAUUCAUUUUUGGAAUUUUGUCUCAAGAAAGUAGUUAACGCACAUCACAUUUUUUAUUACGGUCUCUAAUACGGUGUCUAAUAUAUAUUUAAGCAUCGUAACCGUAAUUACUAAAAUUAGUGUGAUCCUUGUUUAGCGUUGUUUCGAUUCAACAAAUAUAUAUAGUGUCAGUGUUUAUCGCCCCCAAACUGGGGUUCGACGUUUGGGUCACCAAUUUUGGAAGUUUUCAUCUAACCCUUUAACCCCAACGACGAGAGUGCACUCCGCCGGGUUUUGAACUAUCCGUUCCUGCCGCCCCCGGUCGAUAGCGGAAUCUUGCCACGCGACUCCCGGGAUUAUCACCUGCACGGCGAGACAGGAGAGUACCUGAGCCGAACUGCAUUUGGAGCUUGUACCAGGGGAACCGUGACACCGCUUCGAGCAGUGCGCGACCGUUACCUCUGUCAUUCCGCGCUGGCGAGUGACGAGAAUAGGAAGAAUCGCCGAGGACUGUGAUCAUCUCUGUAGCCGACAUAGAUACUUGGCGCCAUCCAAGCGAGGACAAGAGGCAUCGAAUGUGAAAUGGAAAAUUAUAAUUCGGACACAAUUUUAUUACCACUACAACUUAAAGAUGAAACUCAGGUUGCGGAAUAAGUAAAUUCAGUGCGCUGCGCCGGCCGUCACCUCAGUCAUUAGGCGCUGGCGAGUGACGAGAUUCGAAAGCAUCACCUAGGACAUUGUACAUGCCUGUAGCCGAGCUAGACAUUUGUCAUCAUUGCGAUUGACGAAUAAGGACGAAGGGCGCCGAAAGUCGAACUGAGAAUUAUAAUUUCGAAACAAUUAACCCUAUAAUUUAAAGAAUAAUCUUAAACAGAUUCCGGAUGAAGUAAAUUCAGGUUAGUGUUUAUCUUUAUUUUAUUAGCUAUAGAGUUAGCGUUAUUUAAUAUUUUAUGAGUUUUAGCAAUUUUGAAGUUUUGAACAAAUGUGCUAAAGUACAAACAUUUCAUUGUAACGUCGUUUUUUUAAUAACUUAUCUCUUAAUAAUGAUUAAUGGUAUAAUAAUUUAGAUAAUUAACAUUGUUAACUGUGUUACAACUACCCUCAAGUAAAAUAAAUAUAUCUUAGAAUUUAUUAAUUGUUGCGUAGUUAAUCCGUAGCUAUACCUAUUCUUGUUCUACCUUGCUGUACAAUAUAUACUUAUUUGUUAGAAUUGUUAAAUAAAAAAAAUAUCCGGAUAACCAGAGGAUGUAUCCAAGGGCGGAUCUGCCGUUGUGGGCACCGUGGGCAUACAGACAACC